Molecule: long non-coding RNA, 1628 nt
Organism: Passer domesticus (house sparrow)
Lineage: Eukaryota; Metazoa; Chordata; Aves; Passeriformes; Passeridae
Exons: 6
Source: RefSeq, a predicted model, not a curated record
GGCUAAGAUUCCGCAUGGGUGCUUGGAGUAAAUACCUCUUGGCAGCUCCUGUAGCAUUUGGUGCUGUUCCCAACAUCUCCAUUCCUGGCUGAUGUAAUUAGAGGACACACAACUGGCUUAAGCUCCUACAAGCUCUGGAUAGAUUUUCCUGCCAAAAUGAAGAUUCCAACCAACAGGGAUAAUCACACAUAGCCACACCUACGGAAAGCAGGGACAAGGGUUCAUCACCAGGGCACAGGUCAAAGAAAAUGAGAAUUCAUUCAGGGAAUUGUUUCAUUCUCACAGAGUGUUUUACUGAAUGGGAUGGAAAAAGAUGGAAAUGGAUAUUCCCUGAGGACAGUGAUAAAGACUCAAGCAAGCAAGGUGCUCAGAGCAGGACCUGCCCUGCCAGCUCUGCUUCAGGAUGGACGAAUUUAUCUUAACACUGUGAUGCCAUUUUGCACCAUAAAUAUUGAAAAUACUCAUGAACUUGACCCCAAGAGCUGUCAGCAGAGUGUCAAUCUUCUAAAGGAUUGUACCAAAUUGGAAGAAAUUAUUUGGAAAUUAUACACUUAUCCACAAACAGAAUCCCAGAUCAUGGGUUUUUUUCCAUUAUUCAUAAAAAAGAGGUCAAAAUGAAAAGAAAGUAUUUUUGACUUAGACAUCUCAAAAAUCCAGCAGCAACCAAAGGUGUCCAGCAACAAAGAAUCCAAGCAUUCUCUUUGCUACAAAAAUAUGAAUUCAUAACUUUACUGAGCAGACAAAGCUGCAUUUCAACAGCUAAAAUUUUACCAUACCUUCGGAAAAAGGGUUUCAGUUGCACAGGGUUACAGCCAGCUCCUUUCAUCUCUGACCCAGAAGGCACAACUCCAUAAUGGGGCAGCUGCCAGACAAAAACUGCAGAGGCAAGAAAUCAAAUCCAUCGGGAUUCCAGGAAAACACAUUUUAUUCAGUGAACAGCACCGUUUGCAAGCCUCCUUUCAAAUGAUGAAGCUCUGCUCCAAGGAUACGUACAAACCACACGUGCACCUAUUCAGGAAGUGUUGGAGGAAUUUGCCAAGCUGUGUCAGAAAAUAUGGCUGAGAUAAUUUUUGAGCAAACCCACCUUUAAACCAUCUUUGCAGCACAGAACACAUCCAGUCUCUUCCCUAUGGAUAAUCCCUCCACCUGCUUCUCAUCUCUCAGGGACUCUAGAGUGUGUGACAAUAUAAAGAAUGAGUAGCAGGCAAGGCAGGGCUUGUGUUCAGGCACCCUGCAAUGCCAAUAAGCCCUGGAUGCAUGUUCCUUUACUCAUGUGUAAAGCACAAGAAGAUGGGCUGUGCAACAACCACAGAAGCCAUUUGAAAUAUCCAUUCCUGCAUGCACGAACACCAAAGUGGCAAGAAAGAAACAAUAAAAUGCUACUUAAAGUUAAUAGUUUAGAAUAUCUAAAGUUAGUAUUUUAGAACAUUAAGCAAUUUUCCAGACUUUUUUCUACUGACAUUUAAAACUACUUAUCAGCCAAUUUUUAUGUGUUUUGCUGGAGACAGAAGUUCAGGCUGCUUGGGAAUAAAAGGGAAGAAGAACAACAAUGAUUGUGCACUCAUAAAGGAAGAGUUAGUGAGAUUUUAAGUCAUCCCUGAGUAUUCCAUGAGGCUGGAUUUUAUUGU